Brassica napus (rape) is the source of this 821-nucleotide long non-coding RNA. RefSeq lists it as uncharacterized. The transcript has 2 exons. NCBI's taxonomy places the organism in Eukaryota, Viridiplantae, Streptophyta, Magnoliopsida, Brassicales, Brassicaceae. The record is from RefSeq and is a predicted model, not a curated record.
UCUAACCAUGGUUUCAUUUCGAUUGGACAUUGCAGAGAAGGAAGAGUAGAUGACUUGUUUACCUGCAAGUGCUAUGACUUCUUCGGAAGGUGUGUUAUCCAUUCCUGACUUGUGCAGCGAUUCUACAACCAAUUCACUAUAGAUCAGAGUCUCUGGAGGAUGGUCGUGAGAAGAUGGUAGAGAGCAGAUGUUGGCUUCGGCAAGAAGGAGAUAGGAUAAGCAAAGAAAUCGAUUACAUUAUUUCAAAAAGCAACAUUUGUGAAGAAUAUUAACUUUCCUUUUCACACGAAGAUUGAUAUAUAUAUGGAAUUGUGUAAUGAUUUCGUAUAAAUGAUAUAAUCAUGUGUAUUAAGAAGAUUUUGGUAGGAGAGUUAAUGCUCCCGGACCAAGUUUGACAAAUUAAAAUUUGUUUAUAUAGUAAUGAUGCUGAUUAUAUGUAAUAUUUGUGUAAUAAAGUUUGCAAAGUGUGUCUUCGUUCAUAAAAAACAGUGUUUCAUAAACAAAAAAAAAAGAUUUUUUUUUACUUUUCCAUCUUUGAGUGUCAUUUUGUUCAUUUAAAAAAAAAAUGGUGCUAGUUAGAUCAUUUUCAUGUUUAGGGCUAUUCAAUAUGGCAAAACCGAGCCGUACCGAACCGAACCGAACCGAAAUAGAUAAUAUGGUUUGGAUUUGGUAUAUACCAUACAAACCGAAUGGAUAUGAUUUUUAAAAAACCGUAGGAUUUGGAUAUGGUUCGGUAUAUAACCGAUAAAACCGAAUAAACCGAAUAAAACCGAUCAAAAAAUAGAAACAUGUAAAUAUGUAUAUAUUUUAUAACAACGUAU